This 30-nucleotide non-coding RNA is filed under the name Mus musculus (house mouse). The record is from RNAcentral. Lineage: Eukaryota; Metazoa; Chordata; Mammalia; Rodentia; Muridae.
UUCAGAAUUGGUUGAGAACUCUAUCAUUUC